UGGCUCAGAUGGUAAAGCAUCUGUCUACAAUGCAGGAGACCCUGGUUCAAACCCUGG
This 57-nucleotide transfer RNA is filed under the name Bos taurus (domestic cattle). RNAcentral also lists the same sequence under 4 other names. Lineage: Eukaryota; Metazoa; Chordata; Mammalia; Artiodactyla; Bovidae. The record is from Rfam by way of RNAcentral.